UUGAUUUUGGUUUUGGUUGUGUUAAAAUAGUAUUACUUAAUUUUAGUUUAUUAGGGGACAUAUAAAAUUUUAUGUUGGUAAUUUGUUAUUUGUUAAAUUUAUGUUCCAGAAUAAUCGGCUAUACGUAAUAAAUUUAAACUUUAAUUAUUUUUGAAAUUAAUUUUUUGAUUUUUUUGUUUUUUAAUGUAUUGUUAAAUAUUUGUUAUAUUUUUUUGUAUGAUUAAUUUUAGUAGAUUUUUUUAUGAAUUGGAUUAGUACCCAAGUAAGUGAAAUAUAUGAGUGCGGGAGUAAAGUUAAGUUUAAACCGUAAAAAUAUUGACUGAUCUUAGAAAGAUUUUUGGAACAUGCAUGUAAUGGGAGAGCCCUCUUUGUUGGUCUAAAUUUUUGGUUUAUGUAUGAUUGUCUAUUAUAAAUAUUAAUUGUUGUUAAUAAAAUUUAUUUUUUUUUUAAGAUAGAUAUAUAUUUAAUUUAUGUUUAGGUAAUUGUGUGUUACGAUAUUAAAAUAAUUCGGAUUUAGUUUUGAAACGAUUAAUGAAGUUGGAAAAAAAAGUAAAUGUAUUUUUUAUGUUGUAU
Molecule: ribosomal RNA, 573 nt
Filed under: Abbreviata caucasica
Lineage: Eukaryota; Metazoa; Nematoda; Chromadorea; Rhabditida; Physalopteridae
Description: partial small subunit ribosomal RNA
Source: RNAcentral